Long non-coding RNA from Medicago truncatula (barrel medic), 1491 nucleotides. RefSeq lists it as uncharacterized. The record is from RefSeq and is a predicted model, not a curated record. The transcript has 4 exons. NCBI's taxonomy places the organism in Eukaryota, Viridiplantae, Streptophyta, Magnoliopsida, Fabales, Fabaceae.
AUCAGUCAUCGCACUUCAGUUUCUCUUUCCUCCGCAGCUUAUUUUCCAGCCACCGUUUCUCUUCCUUCCGCAGCCGUUUGGAAAUGAAAAGCACAUCUACUCCAUCAUCUCUGGCCACCGCGACGGAACUAUAGCUUCAUAUUCGAGUUCUCUUUUCUUCGGGGGCAGCUAUUUGUAGCAUCACUGCUUCAGCGGAAUAUUAAGUCGUGCUUGAUACUUAGGGAUCUCGAGAAAGCCAAGGCUCUUAUUGUCAUUCAGGGGAUAGUGAUUAAGAAGUUCUUCACCACUUUUGGAGUACAGUUGUUUCUCGGAUGGCUAUACUGCAUCUGGCUGCGUGUUCAAUGACUAUACAGGUGUAACUACAUUCUCAGCUUGCAAAAAGGAACAAAUGACAGCUGAACCUACAAUUGCUGAAGCUCUUGGCAUCCGCUGGUGUAUGCAGCUCGCGAAGGAUCAAAGAAUUAAAGAAAAGAAAUCAUUGUGCAGUCAGAUGCGUUGGUUGUAGUGGAAUGCAUUAGGGGCUCUAAUUCUAUUGCUAGUUUUUAACACAUUGUGGCAGAUUGUAAAACUCUUAUGAAUGUCUUUAGUAAGGUAUCUGUUAACUUUAUAGGUAGAGAUUUGAAUGUUUUAGCGCAUAGACUUGUAGGUUAUGAUAUGCAAGUAGGGAACAAGUCUUGGUUGGGAUAUCCCCUUCCUUUGAAUGAUGUUAUUGUCUCUUGUAAUGCUUCUGUUAUAUAACGAAGUUGGUAGAAUAUCAAACAGAAAAAAAAAGAGAUUGACUAAUGCUUUUGACCAUCUUGUUUCAAUGACCAUGUAGACUGUAAUUACCAUGAUAAAUCAUGCAAUUGGAGCAUCUGGAGUCGUAACCAAGGAGUGCAACUUAGACGAUAUUGAUCAUGGUUGGCUUCUGGCACUGAAUGAAAGCGUGCAAGCACUGCUGGCCAUAUCAAACUGAAAUAUUGUUACUGUGUGAAGGCUUGUAAUUACAUAUAUGUAUUAUUGGACGAGCUGGGACAGAUUGGGAAGAGGUAAAAACAAAGGUGGCUUAGGAUUUAGAGGCUGUUAGUAUAGUGCAUUAUGCUUCUUCCUUUGCUGAAGUGUUCAAUGCAGCCUGUAGACGGCUUUGGGUGUUUUGAAGGUUAAUAUUGAUGUGGGAUGCUUUGAAGGCGGGCACACAUGUUGAGGUCUGAUCGUUAGCACCAUGACAGUGAUGGUGCUUAAAUUGGAUUGAUGAACAGAAACAGUUACAGACUAAUCCUGCUAUUGUAUCUCAUGUGAUUGUAGAAACUAACACAAGUAGUAUCCAAGGACAAGCAUUUGACUUUUAGGAAAAAGAGAGAAAAUAAUAAUGAGCAUUUGGCUUUUAGGAAGUCUGUGUUAAGACUAUCCAUGUAAUGUAAUAUUACUCAUGUCUAUGUUAUGCAUGUCAAUGAAUGAAAAGUGCAGGAACAUCAAUUUGUGUACUUCAAGUUUUAAUAUUCUUUAGUAGUA